This 253-nucleotide ribosomal RNA is filed under the name uncultured bacterium. RNAcentral describes it as "partial 16S ribosomal RNA". It matches the Rfam family "Bacterial small subunit ribosomal RNA", at positions 524 to 776 of the family's 1533-position model. The record is from RNAcentral.
UACGUAGGGUGCAAGCGUUGUCCGGAAUUAUUGGGCGUAAAGAGCUCGUAGGCGGCUUGUUGCGUCGACCGUGAAAACCCGGGGCUCAACUUCGGGCUUGCGGUCGAUACGGGCGGGCUAGAGUUCGGUAGGGGAGACUGGAAUUCCUGGUGUAGCGGUGAAAUGCGCAGAUAUCAGGAGGAACACCGGUGGCGAAGGCGGGUCUCUGGGCCGAUACUGACGCUGAGGAGCGAAAGCGUGGGGAGCGAACAGG